GACGAACGCUGGCGGCGUGCUUAACACAUGCAAGUCGAACGGAAAGGCCCUGCUUUUGUGCGGUGCUCGAGUGGCGAACGGGUGAGUAACACGUGAGUAACCUGCCCUUGACUUUGGGAUAACUUCAGGCAACUGGGGCUAAUACCGGAUAGGAGCUCCUGCUGCAUGGUGGGGGUUGGAAAGUUUCGGCGGUUGGGGAUGGACUCGCGGCUUAUCAGCUUGUUGGUGGGGUAGUGGCUUACCAAGGCUUUGACGGGUAGCCGGCCUGAGAGGGUGACCGGCACCAUUGGGACUGAGAUACGGCCCAGACUCCUACGGGAGGCAGCAGUGGGGAAUAUUGCACAAUGGGCGGAGGCCUGAUCCAGCAACGCCGCGUGCGGGAUGACGGCCUUCGGGUUGUAAACCGCUUUCGCCUGUGACGAAGCGUGAGUGACGGUAAUGGGUAAAGAAGCACCGGCUAACUACGUG
This 468-nucleotide ribosomal RNA is filed under the name uncultured bacterium. RNAcentral's name for it is "partial 16S ribosomal RNA". It matches the Rfam family "Bacterial small subunit ribosomal RNA", at positions 28 to 507 of the family's 1533-position model. The record is from RNAcentral.